This 434-nucleotide ribosomal RNA is filed under the name uncultured Clostridium sp. Its description in RNAcentral is "partial 16S ribosomal RNA". It matches the Rfam family "Bacterial small subunit ribosomal RNA", at positions 341 to 792 of the family's 1533-position model. Lineage: Bacteria; Bacillati; Bacillota; Clostridia; Eubacteriales; Clostridiaceae. The record is from RNAcentral. RNAcentral also lists the same sequence under 2 other names.
ACGGAAGGCAGCAGUGGGGAAUAUUGCACAAUGGGGGAAACCCUGAUGCAGCGACGCCGCGUGAGUGAAGAAGUAUUUCGGUAUGUAAGGCUCUAUCAGCAGGAAAGAAAAUGACGGUACCUGACUAAGAAGCCCCGGCUAACUACGUGCCAGCAGCCGCGGUAAUACGUAGGGGGCAAGCGUUAUCCGGAUUUACUGGGUGUAAAGGGAGCGUAGACGGCUUUGCAAGUCUGAAGUGAAAGCCCGGGGCUCAACCCCGGAACUGCUUUGGAAACUGUAGAGCUAGAGUGCAGGAGAGGUAAGUGGAAUUCCUAGUGUAGCGGUGAAAUGCGUAGAUAUUAGGAGGAACACCAGUGGCGAAGGCGGCUUACUGGACUGUAACUGACGUUGAGGCUCGAAGGCGUGGGGAGCAAACAGGAUUAGAUACCCUGGUA